GACGAACGCUGGCGGCGUGCUUAACACAUGCAAGUCGAACGGAAAGGCCCUGCUUUUGUGGGGUGCUCGAGUGGCGAACGGGUGAGUAACACGUGAGUAACCUGCCCUUGACUUUGGGAUAACUUCAGGAAACUGGGGCUAAUACCGGAUAGGAGCUCCUGCUGCAUGGUGGGGGUUGGAAAGUUUCGGCGGUUGGGGAUGGACUCGCGGCUUAUCAGCUUGUUGGUGGGGUAGUGGCUUACCAAGGCUUUGGCGGGUAGCCGGCCUGAGAGGGUGACCGGCCCCAUUGGGACUGAGCUAAGGCACAGACUCCUACGGGAGGCAGCAGUGGGGAAUAUUGCACAAUGGGCGGAAGCCUGAUGCAGCAACGCCGCGUGCGGGAUGACGGCCUUCGGGUUGUAAACCGCUUUCGCCUGUGACGAAGCGUGAGUGACGGUAAUGGGUAAAGAAGCACCGGCUAACUACGUG
This 468-nucleotide ribosomal RNA is filed under the name uncultured bacterium. RNAcentral describes it as "partial 16S ribosomal RNA". It matches the Rfam family "Bacterial small subunit ribosomal RNA", at positions 28 to 507 of the family's 1533-position model. The record is from RNAcentral.